CAAUAGCGUAUAUUAAAGUUGUUGCAGUUAAAACGCUCGUAGUCGGAUUUCGGGGCGGGUCCGCCGGUCUGCCGAUGGGUACGCACUGGCGGGCGCGUCCUUCCUUCCGGAGACUGGCCCUACUCUUAGCUGAGCGGGGUCGGGAGUCGGAUCGUUUACUUUGAAAAAAUCAGAGUGUUUCAAGCAGGCAGCUCGCUCUUGCAUGGAUUAGCAUGGGAUAAUGAAAUAGGACUUUGGUGCUAUUUUGUUGGUUUCGAACACCGAAGUAAUGAUUAACAGGGACAGUCAGGGGCACUCGUAUUCCGCCGAGAGAGGUGAAAUUCUCAGACCAGCGGAAGACGAACCACUGCGAAAGCAUUUGCCAGGGAUGUUUUCACUGA
RNAcentral lists this ribosomal RNA (380 nucleotides) under uncultured eukaryote. RNAcentral describes it as "partial 18S ribosomal RNA". It matches the Rfam family "Eukaryotic small subunit ribosomal RNA", at positions 592 to 976 of the family's 1831-position model. The record is from RNAcentral.